UAACCAGGUAUCGCUGUGCCAGAGGGUCCACAUCUCUGGAAUCUUUUCAUUGCCACCUGAAAAGGUCAUUCCAGGCAUCAGUGCAAAUGCACUGAAUUUUCAGCUGUAGCUCCUGGAAGGCCUGAACAGGUGGAACCAGGACCGGGAGACUGCGGCGGUGACCAGCAGGCCAUCAUCUCUGCUCACCUACUCCAGGGAUGUGACCCAGUGCGUCAACACCAGCAGCUUGAAGGUGUUUGGCCGGGCAUUUGUGCCAAACUUCAGGCCACCCUCCAAAUACACCGGAGAGCUGCUUGGUGUUGACUAUCUGUUAAGUCAGACUGGGCAGCCCUUACAGGUCAGCCCUGACUCAGAGGAGACGGAGGACAUGCUGGAGGAUGUGAACGGGGGCGAGGAAGAGGAUGAGGACUUCGAGGAAGACCAACCACCUGACCUCACGGUGUCAGGUCUCCUUGAUGAUCUUAGCGUCUGAACACAGCUUAUCUGCUCCUCCCUGACUGCCUCCACCCUGGCUGCUC
Sander lucioperca (pikeperch) is the source of this 518-nucleotide long non-coding RNA. RefSeq lists it as uncharacterized. The record is from RefSeq and is a predicted model, not a curated record. Lineage: Eukaryota; Metazoa; Chordata; Actinopteri; Perciformes; Percidae. The transcript has 3 exons.